Molecule: ribosomal RNA, 365 nt
Filed under: uncultured bacterium
Lineage: Bacteria
Description: bacterial SSU rRNA
Rfam family: Bacterial small subunit ribosomal RNA
Source: RNAcentral
AAAUAACGCUGGCGGCAUGCUUAACACAUGCAAGUCGAACGAAUAGUAGCAAUACUAUUAGUGGCAAACGGGUGAGUAACACGUAGGAAUCUCCCCUAUAGUAUGGAAUAACAGUUGGAAACGACUGCUAAUACCGUAUACGCUCCUUCGGGAGGAAAGAUUUAUCGCUAUAGGAUGAGCCUGCGCUAAAUUAGGUAGUUGGUGGGGUAAUGGCCUACCAAGCCGAUGAUUUAUAGCUGGUCUGAGAGGACGAUCAGCCACACUGGAACUUAGACACGGUCCAGACUCCUACGGGAGGCAGCAGUGAGGAAUAUUGGACAAUGGGGCGCAAGCCUGAUCCAGCAAUGCCGCGUGAAUGAUGAAGG